This 400-nucleotide unclassified non-coding RNA is filed under the name uncultured bacterium. RNAcentral's name for it is "contains 16S-23S intergenic spacer region". The record is from RNAcentral.
UGCCCACCGACCCAAGUCUGUCUGCUUACAAGACGGUGUUCCGGAACCAGACCUUCGCCUCCGAUCUCUUCAACUCGGUCUUCUACGCGCUCGCCGCGGUUGCUCUCGCCGUGGUGCUUUCCGCACCCGCCGGCUACGCGGCGUCGCGCUUCGAGUUCCGGGGAAAACGCGCGGUCAUGCUGCUGAUUUUGUCGACGUCGAUGAUCCCUGCCGUCGCCUUGCUGGUGCCCACCUACUAUCUGCUGGACAAACUGGGCCUGUUGAACAACCCCAUGGUCAUCAUCGUGCUGCAGGCCGCACGACUGGUACCGCAGACGGUCUGGUUCAUGCAGAACUUCGUGGACGCCGUGCCCCGCGAACUUGACGAGGCGACGCAGGUUGAUGGCGCCAAUCACUGGCA